CUGCAACCUUGGAAAGCUAAACCGCAGAUAAAUGAAGACUACUAUACUUCUUAAGGCAGCAGAUAAGAGCAGAAAUAAUUCCUCUUCAGACCUAAACUACAAAAAUUAGAAAGGAUAUUCUCAUACCAGAUAGAAGUCUUGUUUUCUAGGAACAAAUGCAGAACACCACAAAUGGUGAAACUGUGUUUUGUCUGUCUGACACAGACUGGCAGAGAAAGCUAGCGGUCUGAAUUCCUGGUUCACUGCUGUAAAGGCUUUGCGGCCUGCUGGCUGCCCCGCCUGGCCAGCUCCAGGCCCGCAGGCCCCAUGCAGCGGGGCAUGCAGCACCAGAUGGAGAGAGGGAAGGCCGACCCAGCGAGAAUCCGCUCGAAGAGAAGCAAACUGCCCAGGGAGGGGAAAGAUGGUGCCGGACCAGUUGGACAAAGGCCCAGCUCUGAGCAACUCCCCCUAUUCGGGGGGUGAAUAAAAUCACAAAUGAGAACA
This is a long non-coding RNA of Suricata suricatta (meerkat), 483 nucleotides long. RefSeq lists it as uncharacterized. The record is from RefSeq and is a predicted model, not a curated record. The transcript has 3 exons. Lineage: Eukaryota; Metazoa; Chordata; Mammalia; Carnivora; Herpestidae.